This 166-nucleotide ribosomal RNA is filed under the name Darmera peltata. RNAcentral's name for it is "5.8S ribosomal RNA". It matches the Rfam family "5.8S ribosomal RNA". From Rfam's summary of the family: 5.8S ribosomal RNA (5.8S rRNA) is a component of the large subunit of the eukaryotic ribosome. It is transcribed by RNA polymerase I as part of the 45S precursor that also contains 18S and 28S rRNA. The record is from RNAcentral. Lineage: Eukaryota; Viridiplantae; Streptophyta; Magnoliopsida; Saxifragales; Saxifragaceae.
UUUAAUGACUCUCGGCAACGGAUAUCUCGGCUCUCGCAUCGAUGAAGAACGUAGCGAAAUGCGAUACUUGGUGUGAAUUGCAGAAUCCCGUGAACCAUCGAGUCUUUGAACGCAAGUUGCGCCCGAAGCCAUUUGGUCGAGGGCACGUCUGCCUGGGCGUCACGUA